GCAGGGUGUGAAAUUGAAGCGGGGAUGCUGUGGAUUCGCUGUGAUGAUUUUCAGCUGAAAGAUUAUGUAUGGCAUUCCACUGGAAGUUUUGAGUGUUGAUCAUGUCAAUAAGGUCUGGCAACGACUGCAUGCCAGAGCAUGGUCUUAGAUAUCGUCAGCAAAGAGUGUGAGCUCCCCACGGAAGAAAGUGUUCAUCUGAAGAGCUUUCUGUGGAAACCUGGCUGCUCAGCCUUUGCGGGCUCACGCUAGUCUCUCCAGGGAGACCCCGAGUCCUGACCCUUCUUGUUGCUCUCCUGGCACUGCCACGAGGGAUCCCAGUCUGCCAGGAGCAGUGACACCACUGACUGUGCUGUGCUACUUGCCAGCCCAAACUGACUGCUGCCCCAAGGACAGACAAUGUUCUGCCCCCCUCCAGGCAGGCAGCCUCCAGGUGGACUGCCCAGGGCUGUGAUGUCAUGUGCAUCAUCUCCGGACAGGCAGGGACAUCUCUUGGAACGUGUGCCAGGAUCACGCGAGCAGCAGGCUGGGAGACUGGCUUCUCAUAGCCCGUUAACCACAUUCGGCUCCUCAGCUGGAGCAUCUCCGUGCUGUGUUGGGAGGCAUCAAAUGAGGACAAAUGUGCCUGACCCUUUCCAGCUGCUGCUGCUGUGUUUGUUGAGAGAGAACACAUACCUUGGACCUGGAAGAAGGAAGAAAAGCAUUUGACAUCUGUACAUUAACCAUACACAACUAGCUGGACCCUCUGUCCAAGCAGGGCAGCUACUUGAGGUUGUGUGCAAACAAGUGUGUUAACCAGUCAAUGCAUUAAAGGAACAGAUUGUGCCCACUCCGACUGCCAAAGACAACCAGAAAUGCCCUCAUAAUUACCAGGAAGAGCCGUCGCCGAGCUCGUCACCUAAAACACCAAGAAGCGAGGUUUCCAAGAGCGUCCACCACCGGCCUCAUUCCUGACAGCCCCUUUGCCUCAGGGGACAUCACAAAACUCUGACUAUGUGCAAGGGGAAACACGUCUGGGAGACCUCUUUCUUUUCCCACAGCAGGUUGUGGCCCUGCUCAGAAUGGACUGCCAGCGAAAGACAGAAGAAAUGGAAGGGAAAUACACGGACAAAAGGAUGCGGGCAGCUGAAGAGGACAACACAGAAGAGGACAAAGCCACGUUAUCUGGUCAAGAGCAAGCAGCCUUGUGGGUCAGCACUGUGUCUUCAGUGCCAGGAUAUGAGCUGCCUGAUUUCAAAUUGUUGCUGUUGGUUAAGUUUCUGCUCAUCACUGGUCUGA
This 1275-nucleotide long non-coding RNA is filed under the name Struthio camelus australis. Its description in RNAcentral is "lncRNA (ENSSCUG00000014733.1)". The record is from RNAcentral. Lineage: Eukaryota; Metazoa; Chordata; Aves; Struthioniformes; Struthionidae.